CUUAUAUUCUGUAGCAAGGUUAACCGAAUAGGGGAGCCGAAGGGAAACCGAGUCUUAACUGGGCGUUAAGUUGCAGGGUAUAGACCCGAAACCCGGUGAUCUAGCCAUGGGCAGGUUGAAGGUUGGGUAACACUAACUGGAGGACCGAACCGACUAAUGUUGAAAAAUUAGCGGAUGACUUGUGGCUGGGGGUGAAAGGCCAAUCAAACCGGGAGAUAGCUGGUUCUCCCCGAAAGCUAUUUAGGUAGCGCCUCGUGAAUUCAUCUCCGGGGGUAGAGCACUGUUUCGGCAAGGGGGUCAUCCCGACUUACCAACCCGAUGCAAACUGCGAAUACCGGAGAAUGUUAUCACGGGAGACACACGGCGGGUGCUAACGUCCGUCGUGAAGAGGGAAACAACCCAGACCGCCAGCUAAGGUCCCAAAGUCAUGGUUAAGUGGGAAACGAUGUGGGAAGGCCCAGACAGCCAGGAUGUUGGCUUAGAAGCAGCCAUCAUUUAAAGAAAGCGUAAUAGCUCACUGGUCGAGUCGGCCUGCGCGGAAGAUGUAACGGGGCUAAACCAUGCACCGAAGCUGCGGCAGCGACGCUGAUGCGUUGUUGGGUAGGGGAGCGUUCUGUAAGCCUGCGAAGGUGUGCUGUGAGGCAUGCUGGAGGUAUCAGAAGUGCGAAUGCUGACAUAAGUAACGAUAAAGCGGGUGAAAAGCCCGCUCGCCGGAAGACCAAGGGUUCCUGUCCAACGUUAAUCGGGGCAGGGUGAGUCGACCCCUAAGGCGAGGCCGAAAGGCGUAGUCGAUGGGAAACAGGUUAAUAUUCCUGUACUUGGUGUUACUGCGAAGGGGGGACGGAGAAGGCUAUGUUGGCCGGGCGACGGUUGUCCCGGUUUAAGCGUGUAGGCUGGUUUUCCAGGCAAAUCCGGAAAAUCAAGGCUGAGGCGUGAUGACGAGGCACUACGGUGCUGAAGCAACAAAUGCCCUGCUUCCAGGAAAAGCCUCUAAGCAUCAGGUAACAUCAAAUCGUACCCCAAACCGACACAGGUGGUCAGGUAGAGAAUACCAAGGCGCUUGAGAGAACUCGGGUGAAGGAACUAGGCAAAAUGGUGCCGUAACUUCGGGAGAAGGCACGCUGAUAUGUAGGUGAGGUCCCUCGCGGAUGGAGCUGAAAUCAGUCGAAGAUACCAGCUGGCUGCAACUGUUUAUUAAAAACACAGCACUGUGCAAACACGAAAGUGGACGUAUACGGUGUGACGCCUGCCCGGUGCCGGAAGGUUAAUUGAUGGGGUUAGCGCAAGCGAAGCUCUUGAUCGAAGCCCCGGUAAACGGCGGCCGUAACUAUAACGGUCCUAAGGUAGCGAAAUUCCUUGUCGGGUAAGUUCCGACCUGCACGAAUGGCGUAAUGAUGGCCAGGCUGUCUCCACCCGAGACUCAGUGAAAUUGAACUCGCUGUGAAGAUGCAGUGUACCCGCGGCAAGACGGAAAGACCCCGUGAACCUUUACUAUAGCUUGACACUGAACAUUGAGCCUUGAUGUGUAGGAUAGGUGGGAGGCUUAGAAGUGUGGACGCCAGUCUGCAUGGAGCCGACCUUGAAAUACCACCCUUUAAUG
This 1600-nucleotide ribosomal RNA is filed under the name Escherichia coli. Its description in RNAcentral is "bacterial LSU rRNA". It matches the Rfam family "Bacterial large subunit ribosomal RNA", at positions 627 to 2212 of the family's 2925-position model. The record is from RNAcentral. Lineage: Bacteria; Pseudomonadati; Pseudomonadota; Gammaproteobacteria; Enterobacterales; Enterobacteriaceae.